AGCGUAGACGGUGUGGCAAGUCUGAUGUGAAAGGCAUGGGCUCAACCUGUGGACUGCAUUGGAAACUGUCAUACUUGAGUGCCGGAGGGGUAAGCGGAAUUCCUAGUGUAGCGGUGAAAUGCGUAGAUAUUAGGAGGAACACCAGUGGCGAAGGCGGCUUACUGGACGGUAACUGACGUUGAGGCUCGAAAGCGUGGGAGGCAAACA
RNAcentral lists this ribosomal RNA (207 nucleotides) under uncultured bacterium. Its description in RNAcentral is "partial 16S ribosomal RNA". It matches the Rfam family "Bacterial small subunit ribosomal RNA", at positions 568 to 774 of the family's 1533-position model. The record is from RNAcentral.